AGGCAGCCACAGGAGGCCUGGGCCAUUCAUUUCUCUGUUAAAAACAAUGGCCUGCUGCGUCCUCAGCCUUAUGGUUCCAAUAAAGAGUCCUCGAUCAAUUGCACAAUCCCUGUUCCCUAUUGUCAAGUGUCCCCAAAGCCAGACUGAGAAGCAGCCUGCCCGCUGCCCCUAUAAAGUGCUCUUUCACGUGCCCUGACCCAAUCCUAGACUAGAAAGAGGCUCCCUUGAUUCCACUCCCACAGCCUGGGGUAAGAGCAGACCACGAGAAGUGCACUGUAGUCCAGCUCCCGAUGGCUACGAUCAUAAAAUUAAAUGGUAUAACUUGCAUUAUGGCUGUAAAUCUCCAUGGCUGGCCAUUUCUUCCUGCUGCCAGGCCCCUUGGCACAGUUGACACUGUCUCAAAUUCCAGACCAGAAAAAAAGGGCCCACUAUAUUGCAGUGAUUUUAUCAUUAACGAGACCUGUUUGGCUCCAAAAUGAGGAAAAAUACUUAAGCAUAAUAUUUGCGUAGUUCAAAUGCAACGCCCCCUCCUGUCAUGUGUCACCAAGGCAAAUCUGGACUCUGAUUCAGCGCUCCAGCCCACAACAGGGGACUUGAACGCAAACAGCCUGAGUCACGCAGGUCAGCACGCAUGUGGGAGGCCUGUUCUCGGCUGAGUAUUUUAAGCACCGGCUUUGUGGAUGAAAGGCCAUGGGGCCAGGUCUUGGAGCAACUCCCAUCAUCCCUUUCCCUCAGAAGUAUGAAAAUGUCUUUUUUCUAGAACGCCCUGUGUUGGUCAGUCAUGGUGUGACUCAGUGCCUCUGGAUGAAGCCUGCCUUAGCUCCUCCCUCCUCUUAUCUCUGCCAUAGAUCCUUGGCUUCCUGAUGAUCAAACUGAAGAAUCUGCAGUUUUCUUGCAGAAAAACAAACAGUUCCAAUGGAACAACCAUUCAAAACAUAAUAACUCAGCCCUUUAACCUCCUACCACAAUCUAAUGCCUGGCGUUACGAGUUAGGGGAAAGAAGAAGGCAGGACAAAUGGUUGUGGAGAGCUGUCUGCCUCAGAAAUAAUGCCAGUCGGCAAAGGCUGCUGGCAGGUUUUGUGUUCAUUUCAAAACUUCACAUUCCUCGGGCACUUAGUGGCAUUUUUGAAGAACACCGUUUCAAGGACAGGGGAGUGAUGUGAGUGAGGUCAUUGUGAAUACACAGCACUUGACGUGGUAGAGUCCACAAUCAGCCUUGGAAAGGCUCUUGCCAGUUGUGUCUCUCUUAGCCAGCAAGCGUGGGGACCUGUGCCACGGAGACACCCAAUAGGAAUCAUCAUUUCAGGUAAGCCAGUCCUGUGGUCAGGCACCACGUGAGGUUUUUUUGUUUGUUUCUUUGUUUUUUGUUUUAAUUAGUCCCCCUCAUUACCAUAAACUAAGAAAUGAGAGCUUUAACUUGUGAGCAAUUUCUAUACCAGCUGAUACCUGCCAAAAUUGUAGUCAUUUAUAGAGAUUAACUGAUGACUGUCUGCUUUAGCAGAAGUGUUCAGGCAUAACUCCCAGAGAAAACAAUUCUUCAGUCUAAGCUGUUUUCUAAGCCCUGGGAGUCUCAGGGCUGAGUUUAAUGCUGGAGGAUUGGGGAAGAGCCCACUCUACUCUCCCCACGUGUGUUCCUGGGAGUAAGUUGGAACGUUAUUGCCUUAGUAGGGGGUUUUGACCCUCAGGCUCACAGUGGUGCUGGAGAGCUGUAACACCAAGGCACAGGGGAAAUGAGAAGCAUUAUCAUGUUCAAGGUGUGGUUCGGAUGCACUUACAAGCUAGAUCAAAGGAACAUCUAAUUCUUACUUUCUGAAACCAUCAGACCUCAUGUGCCAGAUAGCAAUAUUUUGCGUGAAAUAUAGGAACUUCCGAUAUGAACUUUCCAGCUGGGGAAAAUGAAUACUUUAUGUCUUCAGUUUCCUGUAUCUGUGUUCAAUUAAAAGGCUCAUUUGCCCCCUGAAUUAGAAAUAGAGGACUAUGGAAAAUGUCUACUAUCCAAUUCACUUUUCUUCUUUCUGAGUACUGGGCUUUAGAGGGCAGCAGGGACUUCAACCCUGGGUCCAGCCCUUGGGUAGAACCGGGAUGCAGCUCUGAACACCUGCAUGCUGGCAGCUUGGCUUCUUCAGCAUGUUUGAAGUCAACUGUGAAUGUUUACAGGAUGGUGCUUAAAGUAGUGGGCACGUCAGGAUUUCACACUGGGACAUCUUAAUCUUAAGCAGAGUUGAAAAGCGUCCUAAAUUCUUCUAUUACCAUUUUCUCAUUUUUGAAAAAAAGAAAAGUACUUGGUUGGAAUUUUACUAUGUAUGCAGAGUCAUAAAAAUCCAAAAAAGGUGAAAAAGUAUAUGUAAUACAAAUAAGUCAAUGCCAUUUGCUAAAUUUUACUUCAUUCCAAAGGCAUUUCUGUUGUUUUUGGGGUUGGCUGCUCACUAGAGCAGCCUUAAAUGUUAUAUUUUGUAACGGAUAGUGAGACCAGCUUCACUUUUCUGCUGUACAAACUAAACUGAGCAGGUAUGCUAAAAUCUCAUUGAUAACUGAGCUGCCUUUUUAAAGACACCAUUGUGAUCUGUGGCUGUAAGUAACAGAAAUAUAAUAUAUGAUCUUCCAUUAAAGAAACUAGAUAAGGCUAAAUUGUCACCGUUUCUUGGAAAUUUGUGGUUAGAGAGAAUAAAGAAUUUUCUGGCAGUCAACAACAUAUUAGUCUACGUUUCUGAUAGGGGUUUACUAGUUUUCCUGAUAGAUUCUCAGCAGAAAAAUGGGGAAGGUAUAUACUCAGAAGACUGUCAUGAUGCACCAUUGAGCCAAAUCUAUGCAAAAGCAUAAUACAAAAAAGAUAUAUAUAUAUAUAUCGUAUAUACACGUAUAAAAUUGUGGUUCUUCUAAAAAGCAUAUAAGAAUUUUAUAUAGUCAAUUUUGAAAGGACAUCUGUAUUUCAGGAGAUGUUGGCCAGUGAAUGGGAUACUCCCUGCAUGAAUCUGGAUAUAAAAAUAUGGGGUUUUCUUUCCUUGAUUUGUUACUGUUUUAUGACAAUGGAAAAGAAAUCAAUGUGUGUAGAGAACAGCUUACUUUUCCUGGUAUCAGAGUCUAACCUUUAGGUUGCGGGGUCAUUAGGAUUUCAAAGUGACAGUACUGAAUGUGACCCUUCCUGAAGCCCCUUGCAGGUGGUGAAAUAAAUCUCCCUAAUUGCAAACCUAACUAUCUGCUGGCUAAUUUAAUGUUGGGAAAUAUUGUUCAAUAUUAUAUAUCACAUGUAUAUUAUAUAUACUAUAUAAUAUAAACUAUAUGAUGGCAUAUAGAAUGUCAAUAUACAUUCUAAUUCAUAUUAUAUAUGCAUGCUUAUAUAUCGUCUAGGGCUACAUAACUAUGGGCAGCCUCACUUUCCCCCGCCCCAAUUUCUUCUCAUAUCGUUAAGCUAAGACACCACCACAAGGCUGGAGUACUUCAGAACUGGAGAAGGGCCAGAGAAAUCGGCCUUGGUUUUUAACUGAUGUGUGGGAAGUGAGGUUCAGAGAGGUUAUGUCAUUUGCCCAAUCUCACAAAGUCAGUUACGGGAAGACGGCAGGUCUGAAAACACACCCAUCUCAACACCCACAGACACACACACUCGGGAUGUGCUCUCAGUGCACCUACAAAUUCAACACCCACCGACACACACGCUCGGGAUGUGCUCUCAGUGCACCUAGAAAUACACAUUUCUGUGAACUCAAAGCGAACAGAGUGGAGAAGUGCACAAUGCUACGUGGUUUUAGAUCUCAGACAUGAAAGCCCCUGAACGUUUGCAUCUGCCUCGACCAUCUCACUUCUGCUCCCAGUGUAUGUGUAGAAUCAGAAGACAGCCCCAGCCACACUGUGACCUGCAGGCUGUGAGGCUGUUUCACCUGCUUGAGCGGGCAGUGGAAUUACCUGGGCAUUCUAGCUUGGUAGGUUGGUCUGGGGUGAAGGGCCUGAGAAUUUGGAGUCCUAACAAGGUCCAGGUGAUGCUGAGGCUGCCGAUACAGGGAGCACACUGGGAAUACCUGCAUGGAAGGGAGAGCUCCCCCUGGUACUCAGGCUUCCACUGUGCAUUACUACUUCCCUUCUCCUACCUGCUUCUGAUGUGCUGUGUGCUGGGGAAAAACACAUGAACGAAACGUGCCUGAACUGUGUUUAGACUGUGUUCACGAGCAAUGACUGAUGGCCUCCUUUUGGUGAUAACUAUUUGGCCGUCUUUUCAUUUUUUUAACUCUUCAAUACACACAGAGCAGCUGAAAAUGCCCAAACUCUGCCCUGCAGAUAGGCAGGUGUGUGACUGUCUCUGUCUCCCACAAUAACUGGGCACAUUCUGUUCCAGUCAGACUGAUUAUCAUGACAGUCUCAAAUCUGAGAACCCCAAAUUCUCAAGCAGCAAGUAACUUCUGCUGUGCCAUCUGUGGAAAGGCUUUGGGGAAUGGCAGGGAAGGGUUACAUGGAACCUUUAUUCCGUUCCACAAAUGCAGCAGCUAAGUUCUCUGAGUGCCCACAGGAGCGGGUGUUAAUGCAGAUGCCACAAUCCUCCUCCCCUCUAGAGAAACAACAUGGUCCCAGGGAAAUGUGAAUGCCCGUGUAGGCGUUAAGAAUUCUGCAUUCUAAAUCUGCUUUUCUACCGAACUUUGCUGUGGACAAGAACAAGUUUCUUCGUCACUGAGGCUCCAUAUCUGGAAGCCUGGAAUUAAGAGACUAUGAGGAUUACUCCAAGGGACUCAAAGCAUCCACAGCAAUUACAUCUGCUGCGAUUAUCUACUCAGCUGGUUCUUGUCGGAUGGCUCUAAGCACGGUCUUUCUUGAACAACGUCGAAUGAGGUUACGACUUUCAAAGUUUUCCCUUUGUCUUUUUUCAGGCAGACACCUGGCCUCCGGAAGCCAGUGCCAAGUCUAACUGUCAGGUUGGUCUCAGAGCUCUGUCUUGAUCCCCACCAGGUCGCCCAGCCUGGGAUCCCACCUGGCCUGCUCUACCUCUCCGUGUGCUGGGGGUCAGCAGCUUUGCACGAGGUGUCCUAAGAAUUCACUCUCCCUCUGCCUCCAGCUGUUUCAUCAAUGACCCUUUGGACAGUUAGUUAUAGGUGACCUUGGGCUUUAGUAUUCAAAGGUGCUCUCCUCUCUCCCUUAAGCCUUCACAGAGCCUUUCGUGCUACCCUGCUGACUGGGACAUUCCAUUCUGCUUUCACCCCUCCCCCUCUAGCAUCCCAAGGCUGAGUCCAGAGGGAGUGGGACAUUAAACCCACCUUAAAAUUUGCUAGGAAGUUGUCAGAGGCUGCACCUGGGAAGAAAGCCACUCUGCGGACCACUCAUCCAGGCUCUCACUUCCCAGCUUCUUGUCUGGGUUGGAAAACAAUGAUACGUUCACCCUGAAUGCCCACCUUUUCCAUCAGUGGCAGGAGGCACAUACGUCCUAGCAGCUGCCGCAGAGAGAUAUAGUAAAGCUACUGUAUAGGAUUUUGAAAGCGGGGCCUCCGAGAGCUUUCCAAACUCCAUACAAGCCAGUUAUUCUCUGCCUUGUUUUCUUUGGCUUCAGGUUAGUAACACAGAAUGAGUCAAACAGUAUUAACUUUCAAUAGGGAAGUGGUGUGGUCAACCGAAGCUGUUUGCGGCUAGAUUGUGAAGAUAGGUAGGGCAGGUAAUGCAGAACAGCCCAUAAUACUGCGAGGAGGCAGAGGAGGGAGGCGGCCCCACUCAGAAACACUCCAACAAUUAAGUCAACAGAACUCACACCAUCUUUUUUUAGUUGGCUGAGGAAUUAACACCAAGGUCUCUGACCGGCCAGCUUUGGGAAGUUGGCCAUGCUGGGGCUUGGACAAUUGAGUACUUUGUGGGUUUAAGGAUGUCUUUUUUUUCCAAAUGUUGCCAAAGUCAUGGGAACUCUAGUUAGGAAGAUUUCCCCUACUUACAGCAUGUCACUCUAGCGUGGACGUUCAUUCAUCUCUUUCCCCGGCCUGGGAUGUGAGUUGAUCCAUUCUCCCUUCUUCCCCCUUCUCCCCCUGCCCCACCCCCACCUUCUCAGUCACCAUCUUUGUCUUCCCAGCUUGGCAGGACACCGCAGUGGCCCCUGGGCUCUCUUUCCUGAGGUUAGAAGAUGGUGCUUUGAAAGAACAAUUGCUCCUACAAACAUCAAAUCAAACUUUUAGAAGCUGAUAAAGACCUUAAAAAUCAUUCAGUCUCCUUUUCUUUCUCCUUCUGUAGAUGAGGAACCUGGGGGUCUAAGAGGAGACACGAGCUGCUGAAAUUCACUGAGCUAGGCAGGGCCAGACGAAGACUCCACUGGCAGGCCCGCAGGCUUUCCACCAGACCAGGCCGCUCCCUCGCCCAGGGCUCAAGAUUCCUUUUAGAGUUCAACAGAGCAGCUCCCGAGAACAGACUGGCCCUCAAGACUCAAAUUUCAGUGGUUUCCAGUUCUUUCUCCCUGCGCUCGGCUACCUAUUUAUUUUGAGACUGGCUGAAUCACCCAAAGAAUAGAACGGGUUUCUCUGAAGCUGCUCCCGGCAGCAUGUCAGCAAAUGAACAGGACAGCGAGCUGGCCUCUGGAGCCUUGGAAGAUUCUCACCUCCAAGCAGCUGCAGUUUUUGACUCGUCCUGGGAAACUGGCACUGAGACUCAGGGGUGUAAGAUUUCACCUCCCUGAAAUCAAAUCCAGAAAUCGCAGGCGCGGAGCGUAUAUAAAAAGCCACAGGGGAAAAAAGGAAUACGGACUCAGCAACUCUUAGGUGCUCUGAGCCUCUUCCCAAGCCUUCUGGUUCCGUGAGCAUUUCAUUGAAAGAAAAUGGAAUAACAGAGUUUUAGAAGAAAAACUGUAUUUGGUCUUGUAAGAGAAAAGUAUAUUCAAAUAAAACUCAGUUCUCAAUUAUU
Non-coding RNA from Macaca mulatta (Rhesus monkey), 6855 nucleotides. The record is from RefSeq and is a predicted model, not a curated record. NCBI's taxonomy places the organism in Eukaryota, Metazoa, Chordata, Mammalia, Primates, Cercopithecidae.